GACGAACGCUGGCGGCGUGCCUAAUACAUGCAAGUUGAGCGCUGAAGGUUGGUACUUGUACCAACUGGAUGAGCAGCGAACGGGUGAGUAACGCGUGGGGAAUCUGCCUUUGAGCGGGGGGCAACAUUUGGAAACGAAUGCUAAUACCGCAUAAAAACUUUAAACACAAGUUUUAAGUUUGAAAGAUGCAAUUGCAUCACUCAAAGAUGAUCCCGCGUUGUAUUAGCUAGUUGGUGAGGUAAAGGCUCACCAAGGCGAUGAUACAUAGCCGACCUGAGAGGGUGAUCGGCCACAUUGAGACUGAGACACGGCCCAAACUCCUACGGGAGGCAGCAGUAGGGAAUCUUCGGCAAUGGACGAAAGUCUGACCGAGCAACGCCGCGGGAGUGAAGAAGGUUUUCGGAUCGUAAAACUCUGUUGGUAGAGAAGAACGUUGGUGAGAGUGGAAAGCUCAUCAAGUGACGGUAACUACCCAGAAAGGGACGGCUAACUACGUG
Molecule: ribosomal RNA, 497 nt
Filed under: uncultured bacterium
Lineage: Bacteria
Description: partial 16S ribosomal RNA
Rfam family: Bacterial small subunit ribosomal RNA
Source: RNAcentral